AUGGAGAGCUUACCAGAAGGGUCAAAGAAGGUUGUUAUGCCACUGAGGUUUUCGAUGAAUUUACAGCAAGGGAUCCACAACAUGAAUGAGAUAAACAAGAAGUUUGAUUACAAGAACCGUCUCGACAAGAAGGACUUGGUCAUGUUGCCAGUGCUUGAGUGCGCUGAUGUGACCGAUAAGGAGGGAGGGAGGCAUUAUUGGGUCUUCAAUGUCAACUUGAGGGACGGACGCUUCGAAGUUCUUGAUUCAAGCAAGACGCUGGAUGACAUUGAGCUGAUGAUCACCGCCUCUACCAUAGCGGGGGCAGUACGCUAG
Molecule: ribosomal RNA, 315 nt
Filed under: Triticum aestivum (bread wheat)
Lineage: Eukaryota; Viridiplantae; Streptophyta; Magnoliopsida; Poales; Poaceae
Description: partial small subunit ribosomal RNA
Source: RNAcentral